Stegodyphus dumicola is the source of this 273-nucleotide long non-coding RNA. NCBI's taxonomy places the organism in Eukaryota, Metazoa, Arthropoda, Arachnida, Araneae, Eresidae. The record is from RefSeq and is a predicted model, not a curated record.
CAGGUACACAUCAUCAUCCUCAUCGGCACCGACAACUACCUCAGCAGUUGCCACUGCACCAGUCCAGGCCUCGGCCACAACACAUGCUCACACCUGUUCGCCAAACAUCACACUCCAACACAAACUCAGUGAAACUUUAAAAGGGAAAUGUUGAAGAUUACUCUUUGAGAAAUAGAUUCAAAAAGGCAUUCAUUUCAAAAGUGGUAAGAAAAUACAUGAUUCUUUUAUGGUUCCGUGGGUUCAACUGUCUUAAAACAGUGAUGCAAAUUUCUU